AGCGAACGCUGGCGGCAGGCUUAACACAUGCAAGUCGAGCGGGCCCUUCGGGGUCAGCGGCAGACGGGUGAGUAACGCGUGGGAACGUGCCCUUCGGUUCGGAAUAACUCAGGGAAACUUGAGCUAAUACCGGAUACGUGCGAGAGCAGAAAGGUUUAUCUGCCGAAGGAUCGGCCCGCGUCUGAUUAGCUAGUUGGUGAGGUUAUGGCUCACCAAGGCGACGAUCAGUAGCUGGUCUGAGAGGAUGAUCAGCCACACUGGGACUGAGACACGGCCCAGACUCCUACGGGAGGCAGCAGUGGGGAAUAUUGGACAAUGGGGGCAACCCUGAUCCAGCCAUGCCGCGUGAGUGAUGACGGCCUUAGGGUUGUAAAGCUCUUUUCUCCGGGACGAUAAUGACGGUACCGGAGGAAUAAGCCCCGGCUAACUUCGUGCCAGCAGCCGCCGUAAAAC
RNAcentral lists this ribosomal RNA (453 nucleotides) under uncultured bacterium. Its description in RNAcentral is "bacterial SSU rRNA". It matches the Rfam family "Bacterial small subunit ribosomal RNA", at positions 29 to 526 of the family's 1533-position model. The record is from RNAcentral.